This 170-nucleotide ribosomal RNA is filed under the name uncultured bacterium. Its description in RNAcentral is "partial 16S ribosomal RNA". It matches the Rfam family "Bacterial small subunit ribosomal RNA", at positions 1323 to 1500 of the family's 1533-position model. The record is from RNAcentral.
AAGCUGGAUUCGCUAGUAAUCGCGCAUCAGCCACGGCGCGGUGAAUACGUUCCCGGGCCUUGUACACACCGCCCGUCAAGCCAUGGAAGCCGGGGGUGCCUGAAGUGCGCUGCCGCAAGGAGCGUCCUAGGGUAAAACCGGUGACUGGGGCUAAGUCGUAACAAGGUAAC